AUGCAACAUUUAGCAUCAGAUACCAUUGAUCGGGGUGAAGAUGAUGAGGAUGUUAAAUGGUCAAAAGAUUUUGUAUUGUUGAAAGAGAGGCUUUUGUUGAUGUGUCGACAUUGAAAAGAGCCUUGACACAGCGACUUACAAGACUAUUGAAGACACACACGGACUCAUCUAUUCAGUCAGGUUACUUCCUCAUUAACUCGAGUCGAGUCAAUCUUUUCAUUGUAGCACAACAAAAAAUAACAUGAGAGCAAGAUAAAGAAAGACAUUUUCACAUCUUCCCCAACAAUAACACUCAUCAUAAUAGUUGUACUCAAAUAAUUUAUGGCCUUUACACGCGCGUUUAUAUACUUAGACCACCUUGUUUCCCUUUCUUAACCUUUACUUUUACCUUUUCCAUCUCUAACCUUUAUCUAUUCUUAAUCUAUCUAAACUUGUUUAUUCAAUAUACCAUGUAUAUCUACAUAAUCUCUCUCUGGGAGUUAAAACCUUAUUCCCAUCCUACUAUUACUAUUAUUAUAAUUUUAACCUUUUUUCUCCAUUUUUAUUGAAGGCAAAAUAUCAACCAACUUGACUGAGUUUUACAUGGAUGUGAAAAGGAAACAACAAUAGAUAGAUUGACAGUUAAGGUGUUCACAAUUUGAUUCCUCUACUUUAACUGUUUACCAAACUAUAAUUAACUUGACAAAGUAAAGAUUGUAAAAUACUAAUCGAGCCACUGGUAAUGGCCAAUCGUAUUUAAAUAUGAAAUAAAAUGAAAAUGGCCAGUGAAAUGACAGCGUCUUGGUUCCCUCUAUGAUAAAAGCUAAGAAGGUUGAAUCCCAGAUACAUAGCAUUACAAUGACAAUUAAUUAAAUGGAAAUAUUGUCAAUCUAUCUUCAUCAAUAAUCUAUCAUUUAGCCAAUUGUUAAUUAAAUGGUUAGAAGAAAGUAAAAACAAUUAACUCAAUUAUUGAUGUUAAUAAAAAUAUCUGAGUGACAGAUGAAAGCAAUGUUAAACCACAGACAAUGUAAUGAACCAGUUUGCUGUUUUUUCCUAACUUGAAAUGCUGCUGUUGAUUCUGUAUUGUUUUAAUUUACAGUUAACAAAUUACAUUGUUAAUCCAAGGAUGGAGACGAUUUAUAACUGGAUGAAAUGUUGAACCCAAUAUAAUUGGAUAAACAAUCAACUCAAUCAUUUUCUAAAUCUAUAUACCAAACCUAGCAACUAUAAAAUAAUGAGCUUCAAUCAGCAAGUUGAAACAACGAGCAAAAAAAAAGUGAAUCGAUCCAUCAUCAUCUCAUGAAUUCAGUUUAGUUUCCCAUGAAAACUGGAUCCUCCAAGCUUUACCAUUAUUAGUCAACUGUGUACCGUUUGUCAUCCUCAUCAUCCCUAUCAUCAUUAACCUUUGUUUUCCUUGAGCAGAAUCAUCUCAGGUAUUGUGUUUUCACCUUACAAGAGGCUCUUCGUUGUUUUUUUGACAAACCCAAAGCAACACAACAUGAAUGAACGCACAAAAAAAACAUGAUACUUAAUUAACCUCUUGCAAGGUUAAUAGUUUAAUUAUUAAAAACUAAUUGUACUCAUCAACGGUGAUUAACAUAAGACCAAGUUUAACAAUUAAUCAUGUUAAAACACUAAACUUGAAUCAAUAUUUGGGUUCAACCUUUCACCACUUUUCUUCCUCUUCUUCACCUAUUUCCACCUUUUAAAAAUAAACACAAUUUCAAUUGAUUAC
Tetranychus urticae (two-spotted spider mite) is the source of this 1714-nucleotide non-coding RNA. The record is from RefSeq and is a predicted model, not a curated record. NCBI's taxonomy places the organism in Eukaryota, Metazoa, Arthropoda, Arachnida, Trombidiformes, Tetranychidae.